RNAcentral lists this ribosomal RNA (433 nucleotides) under uncultured bacterium. RNAcentral's name for it is "partial 16S ribosomal RNA". It matches the Rfam family "Bacterial small subunit ribosomal RNA", at positions 28 to 507 of the family's 1533-position model. The record is from RNAcentral.
GACGAACGCUGGCGGCAGGCCUAACACAUGCAAGUCGAGCGGACCUUUCGGGGUCAGCGGCGGACGGGUGAGUAACGCGUGGGAAUAUGCCCUUCUCUACGGAAUAGUCCUGGGAAACUGGGGGUAAUACCGUAUACGCCCUUUGGGGGAAAGUUUUAUCGGGGAAGGAUUACCCCGCGUUGGAUUAGGUAGUUGUUGGGGUAUUGGCCUACCAAGCCGACGUUCCAUAGCUGGUUUGAGAGGAUGAUCAGCCACACUGGGACUGAGACACGGCCCAGACUCCUACGGGAGGCAGCAGUGGGGAAUCUUAGACAAUGGGGGCAACCCUGAUCUAGCCAUGCCGCGUGAGUGAUGAAGGCCUUAGGGUUGUAAAGCUCUUUCAGCUGGGAAGAUAAUGACGGUACCAGCAGAAGAAGCCCCGGCUAACUCCGUG